UAGGGUCUGAUAUGUCUGGUAUUCUUGGGUUGAGCUACGUACAACCAGACAUAUUAGACAUAUCCGAUUCUGG
This is a non-coding RNA of Steinernema glaseri, 73 nucleotides long. The record is from Rfam. NCBI's taxonomy places the organism in Eukaryota, Metazoa, Nematoda, Chromadorea, Rhabditida, Steinernematidae.